RNAcentral lists this ribosomal RNA (350 nucleotides) under Diaphanosoma sp. JRdW-2005. Its description in RNAcentral is "partial 16S ribosomal RNA". It matches the Rfam family "Bacterial large subunit ribosomal RNA", at positions 1857 to 2597 of the family's 2925-position model. Lineage: Eukaryota; Metazoa; Arthropoda; Branchiopoda; Diplostraca; Sididae. The record is from RNAcentral.
GCCUGCUAGCCGCGGUAUCUUAACCGUGCUAAGGUAGCAUAAUCAUUAGUCUCUUAAUUAGAGGCUGGAAUGAAUGGCAAGACGAGAAAAUAGCUGUAUUUGAAUUUCAUUUUUAAGUGAAAAAGCUUAAAUGAAUUUAAAGGACGAUCAGACCCUAUAGAGCUUUUUUGUUGGGGCGACAAUUAAUGAUCCUUGAAGAAAGAUCAAAAGUCUAAGUUACCUUAGGGAUAACAGCGUAAUUUUUUUGGAGAGUUCUUAUCGAUAAAAGAGUUUGCGACCUCGAUGUUGGAUUAGGAAAAUGGCAAAGCGCAGAAGUUUUGUAAAUAAGUCUGUUCGACUUUUAAAUUCCU